UACGAAGGGGGCUAGCGUUGCUGAAUCACUGGGCGUAAAGCGCACGUAGGCGGCUUUUUAAGUCAGGGGUGAAAUCCUGGAGCUCAACUCCAGAACUGCCUUUGAUACUGAGAAGCUUGAGUCCGGGAGAGGUGAGUGGAACUCCGAGUGUAGAGGUGAAAUUCGUAGAUAUUCGCAAGAACACCAGUGGCGAAGGCGGCUCACUGGCCCGGUACUGACGCUGAGGUGCGAAAGCGUGGGGAGCAAACAGG
This 251-nucleotide ribosomal RNA is filed under the name uncultured bacterium. RNAcentral's name for it is "partial 16S ribosomal RNA". It matches the Rfam family "Bacterial small subunit ribosomal RNA", at positions 524 to 776 of the family's 1533-position model. The record is from RNAcentral.